GGGGUGGGCAUUUAUAGAUUUUUGGGGAGGAUUCUAGAAGGGGAUGAAGGGUUGAGAUUUGAGAAUAAGUGUGAGUCAUCAGCUCGCGUUGACUAUGUCCCUACGCUAUGUGCACACCACCCAUCACUCUUACAGAUUGAAUGGUCCAGUGAUGUAUUUGAAUCGUGACAACGUGGGCAGUUCACCGCUUGCGACAUCAUGAGAAGACCAUUAAACCUUAUCAUUUAGAUGAAGGAGAAGUCAUAACAAGGUUUUCAUAAGUGAAUCUUCAGAAG
This 275-nucleotide non-coding RNA is filed under the name Nelumbo nucifera (sacred lotus). Its description in RNAcentral is "Eukaryotic small subunit ribosomal RNA". It matches the Rfam family "Eukaryotic small subunit ribosomal RNA", at positions 1539 to 1823 of the family's 1831-position model. Lineage: Eukaryota; Viridiplantae; Streptophyta; Magnoliopsida; Proteales; Nelumbonaceae. The record is from Rfam by way of RNAcentral.